GGUCAGAGAGCUCAGUUGGUAGAGCAUGAGGGUCAUGGGUUCAAGCCCCAUGUUGGGCA
Molecule: transfer RNA, 59 nt
Filed under: Podarcis lilfordi (Lilford's wall lizard)
Lineage: Eukaryota; Metazoa; Chordata; Lepidosauria; Squamata; Lacertidae
Description: tRNA.Undet
Source: RNAcentral